This 253-nucleotide ribosomal RNA is filed under the name uncultured microorganism. RNAcentral describes it as "partial 16S ribosomal RNA". It matches the Rfam family "Bacterial small subunit ribosomal RNA", at positions 524 to 776 of the family's 1533-position model. The record is from RNAcentral.
UACGGAGGGUGCGAGCGUUAAUCGGAAUUACUGGGCGUAAAGCGUGCGCAGGCGGCCCGUUAAGACAGGUGUGAAAUCCCUGGGCUCAACCUAGGAAUUGCGCUUGUGACUGGCGGGCUCGAGUACGGUAGAGGGGGGUAGAAUUCCAGGUGUAGCGGUGAAAUGCGUAGAGAUCAGGAGGAACACCGAUGGCGAAGGCAGCCCCCUGGGCCUGUACUGACGCUCAUGCACGAAAGCGUGGGGAGCAAACAGG